CCUACGGGAGGCAGCAGUAGGGAAUAUUGGGCAAUGGGCGAAAGCCUGACCCAGCGACGCCGCGUGAGGGAUGAAGGUCUUCGGAUUGUAAACCUCUUUCAGUAGGGAAGAAGCGAAAGUGACGGUACCUAAAGAAGAAGCACCGGCUAACUAUGUGCCAGCAGCCGCGGUAAUACAUAGGGUGCAAGCGUUGUCCGGAAUUAUUGGGCGUAAAGAGCUCGUAGGUCGUUUGUCGCGUCGAUUGUGAAAAUCUGAGGCUCAACCUCAGACCUGCAGUCGAUACGGGCAAACUAGAGUGUGGUAGGGGAGACUGGAAUUCCUGGUGUAGCGGUGGAAUGCGCAGAUAUCAGGAGGAACACCAAUGGCGAAGGCAGGUCUCUGGGCCAUAACUGACACUGAGGAGCGAAAGUGCGGGGAGCGAACAGGAUUAGAUACCCUGGUAGUCCGCACCGUAAACGGUGGGCACUAGUUGUGGGAACCUUCCACGGUUUCCGCGACGCAGCAAACGCAUUAAGUGCCCCGCCUGGGGAGUACGAUCGCAAGAUUAAAACUCAAAGGAAUUGACGG
This 567-nucleotide ribosomal RNA is filed under the name uncultured bacterium. RNAcentral describes it as "bacterial SSU rRNA". It matches the Rfam family "Bacterial small subunit ribosomal RNA", at positions 338 to 916 of the family's 1533-position model. The record is from RNAcentral. RNAcentral also lists the same sequence under 1 other name.